Molecule: non-coding RNA, 72 nt
Organism: Phrynosoma platyrhinos (Desert horned lizard)
Lineage: Eukaryota; Metazoa; Chordata; Lepidosauria; Squamata; Phrynosomatidae
Source: the annotation of a GenBank genome assembly
GACUGUGUGGCAUAGUGGUUUGAAUGUUGGACUACAACUCUGGAAACCAGGGUUCAAUUCCCAGCUCAGCCA